This 253-nucleotide ribosomal RNA is filed under the name uncultured bacterium. Its description in RNAcentral is "partial 16S ribosomal RNA". It matches the Rfam family "Bacterial small subunit ribosomal RNA", at positions 524 to 776 of the family's 1533-position model. The record is from RNAcentral.
UACGGGGGGGGCUAGCGUUGUUCGGAAUUACUGGGCGUAAAGGGCGCGUAGGCGGCCUACUAAGUCGGACGUGAAAUCCCUCGGCUCAACCGGGGAACUGCGUCCGAUACUGGUGGGCUCGAAUCCGGGAGAGGGAUGUGGAAUUCCAGGUGUAGCGGUGAAAUGCGUAGAUAUCUGGAGGAACACCGGUGGCGAAGGCGGCAUCCUGGACCAAUAUUGACGCUGAGGAGCGAAAGCCAGGGGAGCAAACGGG